AAUGAACGCUGGCGGCGUGCCUUAUACAUGCAAGUCGAGCGACCACACGAGCAUCUUCCUCCCCUGACGUUAGCGGCGGACGGGUGAUUCACACGUGGAUACCCUACCGUUAGGGCUAGGAUAACUUCGGGAAGCCUGAUCCAAUACCCGAUAAUAUAUUGAACCGCAUGGUUCGAUAGUGAACGCCGUGUUUGCUGUCACUUAUUGAUGUUUCCUCGCCGGAUGAGCUAGUUGGUAAGGUAAAGGCUUACCAAGGCUACGAUGCGUAGCCGACCUGAGAGGAUGACCGGCCACACUGGGACUGAGACACGGCCCAGACUCCUACGGGAGGCAGCAGUGGGGAAUUUUGCACAAUGGGGGCAAGCUUGAUGGAGCAAUGCCGCGUGAGGGAUGAAGGUCUUCGGGUUGUAAACCUCUUUUGUUCGGGAAGAAAAAAUGUGUACGUAAACACGCGGGUCAUGACGGUACCUAAAGAGAAAGCAACGGCUAACUACGUG
This 497-nucleotide ribosomal RNA is filed under the name uncultured bacterium. RNAcentral's name for it is "partial 16S ribosomal RNA". It matches the Rfam family "Bacterial small subunit ribosomal RNA", at positions 29 to 507 of the family's 1533-position model. The record is from RNAcentral.